Molecule: ribosomal RNA, 1337 nt
Filed under: uncultured bacterium
Lineage: Bacteria
Description: bacterial SSU rRNA
Rfam family: Bacterial small subunit ribosomal RNA
Source: RNAcentral
GACGAACGCUGGCGGCGUGCUUAACACAUGCAAGUCGAACGGAAAGGCCCUUCGGGGUACUCGAGUGGCGAACGGGUGAGUAACACGUGGGUGAUCUGCCCUGCACUUUGGGAUAAGCCCGGGAAACUGGGUCUAAUACCGAAUAGGACCACGCGCUUCAUGGUGUGUGGUGGAAAGCUUUUGCGGUGUGGGAUGGGCCCGCGGCCUAUCAGCUUGUUGGUGGGGUAAUGGCCUACCAAGGCGACGACGGGUAGCCGGCCUGAGAGGGUGACCGGCCACACUGGGACUGAGAUACGGCCCAGACUCCUACGGGAGGCAGCAGUGGGGAAUAUUGCACAAUGGGCGCAAGCCUGAUGCAGCGACGCCGCGUGAGGGAUGACGGCCUUCGGGUUGUAAACCUCUUUCAAUAGGGACGAAGCGCAAGUGACGGUACCUAUAGAAGAAGCACCGGCCAACUACGUGCCAGCAGCCGCGGUAAUACGUAGGGUGCGAGCGUUGUCCGGAAUUACUGGGCGUAAAGAGCUCGUAGGUGGUUUGUCGCGUUGUUCGUGAAAACUCGCAGCUUAACUGUGGGCGUGCGGGCGAUACGGGCAGACUAGAGUACUGCAGGGGAGACUGGAAUUCCUGGUGUAGCGGUGGAAUGCGCAGAUAUCAGGAGGAACACCGGUGGCGAAGGCGGGUCUCUGGGCAGUAACUGACGCUGAGGAGCGAAAGCGUGGGGAGCGAACAGGAUUAGAUACCCUGGUAGUCCACGCCGUAAACGGUGGGUACUAGGUGUGGGUUCCUUCCUUGGGAUCCGUGCCGUAGCUAACGCAUUAAGUACCCCGCCUGGGGAGUACGGCCGCAAGGCUAAAACUCAAAGGAAUUGACGGGGGCCCGCACAAGCGGCGGAGCAUGUGGAUUAAUUCGAUGCAACGCGAAGAACCUUACCUGGGUUUGACAUGCACAGGACGCCGGCAGAGAUGUCGGUUCCCUUGUGGCCUGUGUGCAGGUGGUGCAUGGCUGUCGCCAGCUCGUGUCGUGAGAUGUUGGGUUAAGUCCCGCAACGAGCGCAACCCUUGUCCUAUGUUGCCAGCGGGUUAUGCCGGGGACUCGUAGGAGACUGCCGGGGUCAACUCGGAGGAAGGUGGGGAUGACGUCAAGUCAUCAUGCCCCUUAUGUCCAGGGCUUCACACAUGCUACAAUGGCCGGUACAAAGGGCUGCGAUGCCGUGAGGUGGAGCGAAUCCUUUCAAAGCCGGUCUCAGUUCGGAUCGGGGUCUGCAACUCGACCCCGUGAAGUCGGAGUCGCUAGUAAUCGCAGAUCAGCAACGCUGCGGUGAAUACGUUCCCGGGCCU